GUUAGGAAUAUUGGACAAUGGGCGCAAGCCUGAUCCAGCCAUGCCGCGUGAGUGAUGAAGGCCUUCGGGUUGUAAAGCUCUUUAGCCGAUGAUUAUAAUGACUGUAGUCGGAAAAUAAGCCCCGGCUAACUUCGUGCCAGCAGCCGCGGUAAUACGAAGGGGGCGAGCGUUAUUCGGAAUCACUGGGCGUAAAGCGUGCGUAGGCGGCUUUGCAAGUUGGGAGUGAAAGCCCAGGGCUCAACCCUGGAAUUGCUCUCAAAACUGCAAGGCUCGAAUUCGGGAGAGGAUAGCGGAAUUGUCAGUGUAGCAGUGAAAUGCGUAGAUAUUGGAAGGAACACCAGUGGCGUAAGCGGCUAUCUGGACGAGUAUUGACGCUGAGGCACGAAAGCGUGGGGAUCAAACAGGAUUAGAUACCCUAGUAGUCC
Molecule: ribosomal RNA, 425 nt
Filed under: uncultured bacterium
Lineage: Bacteria
Description: partial 16S ribosomal RNA
Rfam family: Bacterial small subunit ribosomal RNA
Source: RNAcentral